UCGGAAAUAAUAGUGUAACAUCUGCUGUAAUAGUGUAAUACAGCUAAAAGCAGUGCACGAAUAGAAUGAAUUAUACAGAUAUAUUUACUAUAAGGCGUAAUAAUGUAAAGAAAGGGAUCUCUUUAUUAAUAUACAAGAUAAUUAUACAUUGUCUUUGAUGGAAACACAACAUAUAAUACACGUUUUGCAUACAAUACGAUGUUCAGAAUAUCAACUGUAACUUUCGCAUCAACAUUAUUAAUAAACAAAAUUAGGCUUUCAUUUUACAAAAGUACUGAUUCAUCAUCAAAGCUAGCCGGCAAAUCCACGAGCACAUAACAUACUCUGAGGUUCCUCUAUCGCUGAGGUUCCUCUAUCGGAAGAUGAAAUGGCAAAGAGGAGAGGGCUCGCUCGGAGGGGUAUGUCGAGAGCUUUAUUUGCACUAGGGACUUUGGCAUUGACGUUUUGGCACUACAUUGUUCGUAAAGAGACAGUAUAGUCAGAAAAAAAUUAGAAUCUAUCGAUAAGAAUAAAGAUCUAGAAGAAUUUAAGAACCUAGUAUAGGGUGGUGCCUCGUCGCAAAUAAAACACAGUACUUCAGAUAGUGCGAAUCAAUCUUAACGCCUCCUUACUGGAUGGUACACUUACGACCGAGCCUCUUCUUCGUCGACGUCUCCUGCGGCUCUCUCCUCUCGUCUCGUGUACCUCCAUCAUCGCCGUUUCCUCGUCGCCGGUUGCCCAAGUUCCUAGAGAGUGCUUUUUAUAUAUUGUAAUGAAACGAUAAUACAUCUGAAGAACCAUUUUAUAGAAAACUAAAAGGCAUUUGAAUAAUCGAGUCCAGCGACUCCAAGACUGGGAGGUUGCGUAACCAUAUAGGUCACCGACUAUUAAUGCUCGCGAAAUAUUAGUUUUCGUCGUGAACAGAAAGUGGCUAAUGCUCACCUUAAGAGCCGUAUUACUGUAACAUCACUUAAAAAUAUCAAUUAUUC
Molecule: long non-coding RNA, 968 nt
Filed under: Ananas comosus (pineapple)
Lineage: Eukaryota; Viridiplantae; Streptophyta; Magnoliopsida; Poales; Bromeliaceae
Description: long non-coding RNA (ACOM_LNC003903)
Source: RNAcentral